This 588-nucleotide ribosomal RNA is filed under the name uncultured Rubrobacter sp. RNAcentral describes it as "bacterial SSU rRNA". It matches the Rfam family "Bacterial small subunit ribosomal RNA", at positions 338 to 918 of the family's 1533-position model. The record is from RNAcentral. Lineage: Bacteria; Bacillati; Actinomycetota; Rubrobacteria; Rubrobacterales; Rubrobacteraceae.
CCUACGGGAGGCAGCAGUCGGGAAUCUUGCACAAUGGGCGAAAGCCUGAUGCAGCAACGCCGUGUGAGCGAUGAAGGCCUUAGGGUCGUAAAGCUCUGUUGUUAGGGACGAAGGGCGAAGGGUUAAUAGCCCUUAGCCUGACGGUACCUUUCGAGGAAGCCCCGGCUAACUACGUGCCAGCAGCCGCGGUAAUACGUAGGGGGCGAGCGUUGUCCGGAAUUAUUGGGCGUAAAGGGCGCGUAGGCGGCCUGGUAAGUCUGCUGUGAAACCUUGGGGCUCAACCCCAAGCGUGCAGUGGAUACUGUCAGGCUAGAGGAUGGUAGAGGCCAGUGGAAUUCCCGGUGUAGCGGUGAAAUGCGCAGAUAUCGGGAGGAACACCAGUAGCGAAGGCGGCUGGCUGGGCCAUUCCUGACGCUGAGGCGCGAAAGCUAGGGGAGCGAACAGGAUUAGAUACCCUGGUAGUCCUAGCCGUAAACGAUGAACACUAGGUGUGGGGGGAGUCGAAUCCCUCCGUGCCGAAGCCAACGCGUUAAGUGUUCCGCCUGGGGAGUACGGCCGCAAGGCUAAAACUCAAAUGAAUUGACGGGG